GAAUCCCUCCAGAAUUCCCCCAAUUCCCUCCCUCCAUAGGUCUCGUAUCUCUUUCCCCCAAUUUCUAUUUCCCCCAAUUCCUUCCCCCGAUUCAUUCUAUUUCCCUUAAUAGGCAACGAACUCCCAAUUUUCUAACUUUAGAUUCUUCUAUUUCUCCCAAUCUGUUUCUGUGGCUAGAAGAAUCGAGAUUCAAAUCAGAAAUUCAUUUAGCAGCUUCAAUAAUCUUCAGGUAGCCGGGAGAUAAAAAACUGCUGGUGAAUCUAUUGGGAUCGAGGUCGACAAUAAAACAUUUGAUAGCCAUGCCAAUUGAUAAAUCUUGGAUUAGCAAAUCACGAAACACACCUGAAUAUGCAGAUGGUCUAAGACAAUUUUUCUUUCCAAAAUGUGGUUUUAACAAGUGGCAAAGAAGAGAUAUAGUUGAAGAGCACCUGAUUCUUAAACCUUUCCCAAAAAACUAUAAAUUUUGGUAUUGGCAUGGUGAAGAAUCAAAUGCAACCGUGCAACAAAUUUCUCAGAGCACCCAUGUCAUAGAAGAUAAUUUACAGCCCCAAGAUCCAAUGGAAAUUAUAAUUAAUGAUGCGUUUGGGUUCACCAGAAACAAUGUCAACGAGCUUGGUGUGUCUUCUAAUCAUAUAAAUAGAGAAGAAAUAUUUGAUGAAGGGCACAUUGAGGGGCAUAAUGAAGAUUAUAUAAAGUUCUAUGAAUUGGUCGAAGAUGGAAAUCAACCAUUAUACGAAGGAUGUACGAAGUAUUCCAAAUUGUCCUUUCUAAUCAAAUUGUAUCAUAUAAAAUGGCUUUGUCGAAUGACUGACAAAGCGAUGAACAUAAUAUUAGAAUUGUUAAAAGAUGCCUUUGAAGAUGUCAAGAUUCCUGAUUCUUUUUAUGAGGUCAAGAAAACCAUCAACAAACUUGGUCUUAAUUAUACCAAGAUACAUGCCUGCCCAAAUGAUUGUAUGUUAUAUUUUGGCGAAGAUGAAGGCUUGCAAGAAUGCAAAAGAUUCAAGACAUCUAGGUGGAAGGAUAAUAAGAAGAAGUAGCCUGCAAAGAUAAUGCGCUACUUUCCACUAAAGCCAAAGUUGCAAAGAUUGUUCAUGUGCUCUAAAACUGCCGAGUCUAUGAGUUGACAUUCUUUAGAGGGUAGCCACGAUGGAUUGAUGAGGCAUCCCAGGGAUUCUCAGGCUUGGAAAACUUUUGACUUGCUUCAUCCUGAAUUUGCUGCAGAUCCUCGAAAUGUACGGCUAGGCCUAUCUAGAGCUAGUGACGGUUUCAAUCCUUUUGGAGCAAUGGCAACUAACAUAGUAUCUGGCUAGUGGUACUUAUUCCAUACAACCGUCCUCCUUGGAAGUGCAUGAAACAAACUUCAUUCAUACUCUCAAUGAUCAUUCUAGGAAAACAAAUGUCGGACAAUGACAUAGACGUGUAUUUACAACCUCUCAUCCAAGAGUUGAGGGAAUUGUGGUACGAUGGAGUGCAGACAUUAGAUUCUUCAAAGAAUGAAAUAUUUAAAAUGCGAGGAGCAUUUAUGUGGACAAUUAGUGAUUUUUCUCGGCUUCGUACAUUAUUUGGAUGGAAUACAUACAUUCAGUUUGCUUGCCCCACAUGUAACUUUGAUACAGACUCUUGCAGAUUGAAGCAUAGUAGAAAGUGAUAUUUUAUGGGUCAUCGUCAUUUUUUUGGAAGCGACCGUCGGUUUAGAUUGCAACAUGUUCAUUUUAAUGGGAAAAUCAAGCAACGGGAGCCACCAAUUGCAUUAUCAGGGUCAGACAUCUUGAAACAAGUGGAGAGCAUUAAUGCUAAUUUUGGGAAAGUACCAGUUUUGCAUGAUAAAGGUAAAAGAACUCGAAGACACACUGUUAAUGAAGAUAGAUUGAGACAACGCAGAAAGAUGGGCAUAUUUUUUUAUCUUCCUUACUGGAAAAUGAACUUGUUACGUUAUAAUCUAAACCUUAUGCGCAUUGAGAAGAAUAUGUGUGAGAAUGUGAUAUACACUUUACUCAAUGAUUCUGAAAAAUAAAAAGACAAUAUUAAAGCUAGGAAGGAUCUUAGAGAAAUGGGUAUAAGGAAGGAACUUUGGGCAGAUGAGAAUGAAAGCUAUCGUCCAUCUUUGUUUACUAUUUUAAAUACAAAGAAAGGUGUAUUCAAGAAAGAUAUAUUUUUGCGGAGCUUAAAGAAUGUCAAAAUGCCUGAUGGAUAUGCGAGCAACAUUUAAAGAUGUAUCGACUUGAAACAACAGAAGCUCUUUAAUAUGAAGAGUCAUGCUUUUCACAUUCUCAUGCAGCACUAGUUACCAAUUGCCAUACGAAAUAUUUUACCUGACAAAGUGACUGUAGUGUUAAUAUAGUUGAGUUUGUUCUUCCGAAAACUCUGUCCCAAAAGCCCAAUAGACCUUGAUAGGCUUCAAUAUCGAUAUUUUCUCACAAUGAAUUACUUGGAAAUGUUAUGCCCUCCAGCGUUCUUUACCAUCAUGAUUCAUUUAACUUGUCAUCUAGAUGGUGAAGCAAACCUUGGGGGAUCGCAACAGUGUCGAUGGAUGUAUCCUAUGGAGAGGUAUUUGGGACAUUUUAAGUCCUAUGUGCGAAACAUGUCACAACUAGAAGGUUCCAUGGCUGAAGGAUACCUAGUUGAAGAGGCUCUCACUUUCUGUUCUCAGUAUUUUGAAGGGAUUGAGACAAGAAUUAAUAGGCCUUGUCGUGUUGAUGAUUAUCCGGAGGAUAGAGGCUCGACGAACUCAUCUAGCAUUUUUUCACCUGUUGGUAAAGGAGUAGCAACAAAAAUAUUUGAUUUGUCACCUAUAGUGAAACGUCAAGCACAUCGAUAUGUGGUACUAAAUUGUCCACAAGUCAUGUCGUUCAUUGAGUGAGUAUUUAAUGCAAAUCUAAAUAAACCUUAUAUUAAAUAUGUAGAACUUACAUAAAUGAUUAAUAUUUGUAUCACCAUUUCAUGUAGUUAAUUUAAAGAUCAUGUACGAAUGCGUUGGAAUGGUCGAAAGCCUACUAGUACGGAAAUUGAGAAGAUAGUUAAUAAAGACUUCAUUGAUUGGUUUCCCCAAAAGAUUGUGAACCCAGACAUUUCGAAUACUGUAUCAGAUUACCUAAAGUUUUUAGCAGAUGGUCUAACACCACAUGCUAGAAGGUUUACAUCAUUUAAUAUCAACGGGUUCAAAUUUCGGACUUCAGAGCGAGAGGAUGGAUUGAAAACUCAAAACAGUGGAGUAUUUUGUACUUCAUCCACAUCUUGUAUUGCUAGUGGCGCUGAUAGAAACCUAAGGCAAGCGGAUUUGCCAUAUUAUGGCAAAUUAGAAGACAUCAUUGAACUUAACUACUAUGGUCGAUUUUGGGUUACACUAUUCAAGUGUAAAUGGGAUGACACAACUAGGGAUAGGGGGUUUAGAAUAGAUGCAUGUGGAUUUUCUUCUGUUAAUUUUUCACGAUUGAUUCAUACUAGCGAUCAUGAAGAGGAUGGUCCAUACAUUGAAGCUUCACAAGCUCAAAUGUAUAUUAUGUGGACGAUGAGGUGAAUAAAUGUUGGAGUAUUAUUGUUCACUUGAAACCAAGAGACUUAUAUGAUAUGGGAGGAGAAGGAGAUAAUGAAUUUCAUGAGAA
Non-coding RNA from Nicotiana tabacum (common tobacco), 3602 nucleotides. NCBI's taxonomy places the organism in Eukaryota, Viridiplantae, Streptophyta, Magnoliopsida, Solanales, Solanaceae. The record is from RefSeq and is a predicted model, not a curated record.